Molecule: ribosomal RNA, 410 nt
Filed under: uncultured bacterium
Lineage: Bacteria
Description: bacterial SSU rRNA
Rfam family: Bacterial small subunit ribosomal RNA
Source: RNAcentral
AUUGAACGCUGGCGGCAUGCCUUACACAUGCAAGUCGAGCGGCAGCGCGGGGGCAACCCUGGCGGCGAGCGGCGGACGGGUGAGUAAUACAUCGGAACGUGUCCUUUCGUGGGGGAUAACCAGUCGAAAGACUGGCUAAUACCGCAUGAGAUCUGACGAUGAAAGCGAGGGACCCGCAAGGGCCUCGCGCGAUUGGAGCGGCCGAUGUCGGAUUAGCUAGUGGCGGGUAAAGCCCACCAAGGCGACGAUCCGUAGCUGGUUUGAGAGAACGACCAGCCACACUGGGACUGAGACACGGCCCAGACUCCUACGGGAGGCAGCAGUGGGGAAUUUUGGACAAUGGGGGCAACCCUGAUCCAGCCAUGCCGCGUGUGUGAAGAAGGCCUGCGGGUUGUAAAGCACUUUCAGUA